This 69-nucleotide transfer RNA is filed under the name Chlorogomphus shanicus. RNAcentral describes it as "tRNA-Arg". The record is from RNAcentral. Lineage: Eukaryota; Metazoa; Arthropoda; Insecta; Odonata; Chlorogomphidae.
AAAUAAGAAGCGAAUUAAUUGCAAUCAGUUUCGACCUGAAUUACUUGAUAUCAUAGAUAUCCUUAUUUG